RNAcentral lists this unclassified non-coding RNA (1578 nucleotides) under Melitaea cinxia (Glanville fritillary). RNAcentral describes it as "misc RNA ENSMCXG00005011998.1". Lineage: Eukaryota; Metazoa; Arthropoda; Insecta; Lepidoptera; Nymphalidae. The record is from RNAcentral.
CCAAUGUGUCCUGUCGUGAUCGUGGUCACAAUAUAGAAAAAUUCUUGUUUAUGAUUGCUAAGAGAUAUCUUUUCUGUACGAUCACUACGUCCUGUCGUGAUCGUGGUCGCGAUCACAGUGACCGCAUCUGUUUUACAUUAUAGUUAAGUGUACGUCGGUGCUGCAAAGUUAAAUACGACAGGGUUAUCGAAGUAUUUUUGUAGAUUUUCGGAAAUUUACACUAGUUUUUAACAGUCAUUGCUCAUAUGGUGAGGUAGUUGGGCGAGAUGUAGGCGUGCGUUUAGUUUUGAUACUUGCCCGUACUCUUAGUAUUCUGUAGCCCUCGCGACGCUCGAGUUCGAGACUAGUCAAUAUAUUAUACUCUUAUGUAUUAGUUAUAUUUUAUGACACAACUUUCCUACGAUUAUGUUAAUCUAUACUAAUGUUAUAAAGCCGAUGAGUUUGUUUGUUUGUUUGUUUGUCUGACACACACGCAUUAAGCUCAAGAACUACUAGUCGAAUUUGAAAAAUUCUUUCAGUGAUAGAUAGCCCGUUUAUCGAGGAAGGCUAUAGGCAAUUUUUUUUCCAAAUUAACCGGGUGAAACCGCGGUGCAGAGCUAUAUAUAUAGAUAUUUUAUUGUUGGUAUAUAUUAUGAAGUUAAUAUUUAUUUUUUAUUUCUGUUUUAUUUGUAAAAUAAAAGGUAAAACUUUGGUUUUCCUCGUUUCGGAUAAAAUAUAGUAUUUAUUCGUUUUUUUUUGUUUUUUUGUUCAUUUAUUUGUAUUGUUGUCAGUUAAACGUUCGAACACGAGUGUCGUGAGCGUUGCGAAGUUUAAAAUAGAAAAGUUUUCGUUGAAUCUCUUUAAUUGUAACUAUCAAGUCCUAUUAUGAUCUCAGUAUUGUAACUACUUAGUAUUCGGUGCUGGGGUAGAUGUUUUGUUUUAAGGUGUAACGCUAUUUUCAUAACUAUAACCCGUCGACAACCAGUAUUUAUAAUAAUUCGUUGACUGAAGAUUUUAGUUGUAUGGAAAGUUCACUGAAACUCAGUUGACUGUGAUUGUAACGAAACAGAUUUUUUAUCUGUUUGACUGAGUUGUCACACUUUAAAAGUUAUUGCAUUUAUUAUGUUAGAAAAGGGAUCGGGAUUUAGAGGGUUUUCAAUUCUUGUAUGAAUGAUUAAUUACGGACUGAAGUAUUUUCAUGUGAUACCUUAUUUUUUCCUCGCUAUUUUAAAGAUACAAAGGUUAACUCUCGGUGUAGGCGAAUGAAGCGCCCGCAGAACAACCGUUUGUAAAGAAAUCGUUUUGUGUAGUGACGCUUUGUACAUAAGCUCUUGUAAAAAUUUUCAAGUAUUUACUAUAAAUACCGUAAAUAAAUAAAUAAAUAAUUGUGAAAAUUAUUUAAAUGAUAUUUUUGGAGGGUAUUGUACCGUUUUGGCUGUGAUUCGGACGUAAUUUUUGCAAGUUUUUGGAUUUAAGGUUCGGUAGCCAUUAUGUUGAGACUCGCCACACUUGUAGGUACUCUUUUACGCCCAGUUUAACUCUAUCUCUGAAUUUGCUUACUAGAGAUGGAAUUUUGACGUAAGUUGCAUACAAAUUGCG